GACGAACGCUGGCGGCGUGCUUAACACAUGCAAGUCUAACGGAGGGGCGAACGGGUGAGUAACACGUGUGUGAUCUGCCUCGCACUUCGGGAUACGCUUGGGAAACUGGGUCUAAUCCCGGAUAUUGCAAGCUGAGCUCGCGGCCUAUCAGCUUGUUGGUGGGGUACUGGCCUACCAAGGCGUCGACGGGUAGCCGGCCUGAGAGGGUGUAAGGCCACAUUGGGACUGAGGUACGGGCCAGAAUAGUACGGGGGGCAGGAGGGGGGAAUAUUGCACAAGGGGCGGAAGUCUGAGGCAGCGACGCCGCGGGGGGGAGGAAGGCCUUCGGGUUGUAAACUCCUUGCGACAGGGACGCGGUACCUGUAUAAGAAGCACCGGCUAACUACGUGCCAGCAGCCGCGGUAAUUC
Molecule: ribosomal RNA, 408 nt
Filed under: uncultured bacterium
Lineage: Bacteria
Description: partial 16S ribosomal RNA
Rfam family: Bacterial small subunit ribosomal RNA
Source: RNAcentral